CUGUAGUGAUGCCUUGUGCCAGAAUAUAACGUCAUUCCGGCACCCGGCAUUAAUAAACUGCAUGCGUGAGAGAAGAGUGAAGAGCAGGUAGGAGACCUCCCGAGAGAAGAACCCCAGGGAGAGGCCCCACACCAGCUCCCAAAGGUAGGGAGCAAUAAAUAAAAUGAUGUGAGUGUGUGCAAGAAUGUGAGUGUGUGUCUGUCAGAGAGUAUGUGUAUGUCUGUCUGAAAGUGUGUGUGUGUGUGUGUGUCUGUCAGUCAGGGAUUGUGCGUCUGUCAGAGAGUGUGU
Pelobates cultripes (western spadefoot toad) is the source of this 288-nucleotide non-coding RNA. NCBI's taxonomy places the organism in Eukaryota, Metazoa, Chordata, Amphibia, Anura, Pelobatidae. The record is from the annotation of a GenBank genome assembly.